UGUCAAGCUACGAAGGGCUCACGGU
Molecule: ribosomal RNA, 25 nt
Filed under: Candidatus Synechococcus spongiarum
Lineage: Bacteria; Bacillati; Cyanobacteriota; Cyanophyceae; Synechococcales; Synechococcaceae
Description: partial 23S ribosomal RNA
Source: RNAcentral